This 1390-nucleotide ribosomal RNA is filed under the name actinobacterium HRG3. RNAcentral's name for it is "partial 16S ribosomal RNA". It matches the Rfam family "Bacterial small subunit ribosomal RNA". The record is from RNAcentral. Lineage: Bacteria; Bacillati; Actinomycetota; Actinomycetes.
CGGCGCGCCUAACACAUGCAAGUCGAACGAUUAAGCCGGAUGCUUGUACCGGGUGGAUUAGUGGCAAACGGGUGAAUCUCACGUGCAUCACCUCCUGUGGACUGUGGUAUAAGCCUGGGAAACUGGCUCUAAUCCCGUAUACAACCACUCACCGUAUGGGGUCCUUGUGGAAAGCUUUAGCGUGUUUGUAUGGACUCGCCCCCUAUCACCUUGACUGUGAGGUAAUGGCUCACCGUACCAAUGACACGAUACCCGGCCUGACAUGGGUAACCUGAUCACACUGGGACUGACACACAGACCAGACUCCUUCCUAAGGCAGGCAUGGGGAAUAUUUCACAAUGGGCUGAAAGCCUGAUUCAUUGACGCCUGUUGUGUGAUGACAAGACUUCUUUUUGAAAACCACUUUCAUGCAUGGAAGAAACUUAUAUGUGACCGGACCUGCUAGAACGAAGCUCCGGCUAACUAUCGUGCCAGCAGCCGCGGUAAUACGUAUGGCGCGAGCGUUAUCCAGAAUUAUAUGGGCGUAAAGAGCUCGCAGGCGGUCCGUCGAGUCUGAUGUGAAAGCCCACGGCUCAACCGUGGAUGUUCAGUGGAUACUGGCAGACUAGAGUGCAGUAGAGGAGACUGGAAUUCCUCGUGUAGCGGUGAAAUGCGCAGAUAUCAGGAGGAACACCGAUGGCGAAGGCAGGUCUCUGGUCUGUAACUGACGCUGAGGAGCGAAAGCAUGGGGAGCGAACAGGAUUAGAUACCCUGGUAGUCCAUGCCGUAAACGAUGAGCACUAGGUGUGAGGGACAUUCCACGUUCUACGCGCGCAAGCUAAGCCAUUAAGUGCCCCCCCUGGGGAGUACGGCGGCAAGGCUAAAACUCAAAGGAAUUGACGGGGGCCCGCCCAAGCGGCGGAGCAUGCGGAUUAAUUCGAUGCAACGCGAAGAACCUUACCAAGGCUUGACAUACACCGGACCGCCCUAGAGAUAGGGUUUCCCUUCGGGGCUGGUGUACAGGUGGUGCAUGGUUGUCGUCAGCUCGUGUCGUGAGAUGUUGGGUUAAGUCCCGCAACGAGCGCAACCCUUUUCAUAUGUUUCCACAUCAUAAUGGUGGGCACUCAUGGGAGACUGCCGGGGUCAACUCGGAGGAAGGUGGGGACGACGUCAAAUCAUCAUGCCCCUUAUGUCUUGGGCUUCACGCAUGCUACAAUGGCCGGUACAGUGGGUUGCAAUCCUGCGAAGUGGAGCCAAUCCCUAAAAACCGUUCUCAGUUCGGAUCGCAGUCUGCAACUCGCCUUCRUGAAGCCGGAGUCGCUAGUAAUCGCGGCUCAGCAAUGCUCCGGGAAAUACGUUCCGAUCCUUGUAAACCCCCCCCGUAAACCCACAAAGUUUUUAAACCCAAAUC